AAAUAAAUUUGUAGUCGUGCGAAACACACAACUUUUUAUCUCACUACAGCGAGGAAAACGGAAGAUGCUUGAUACAAGAGGCGCCAGUACCGUGGAGGUUUCAAUAAGAAGUUUCUAUAUCAAGAAAACUAAAAUCCUUAGAAG
This is a long non-coding RNA of Maniola jurtina (meadow brown), 144 nucleotides long. RefSeq lists it as uncharacterized. The transcript has 4 exons. The record is from RefSeq and is a predicted model, not a curated record. Lineage: Eukaryota; Metazoa; Arthropoda; Insecta; Lepidoptera; Nymphalidae.